This 391-nucleotide ribosomal RNA is filed under the name uncultured Sphingobacteriales bacterium. RNAcentral's name for it is "bacterial SSU rRNA". It matches the Rfam family "Bacterial small subunit ribosomal RNA", at positions 993 to 1382 of the family's 1533-position model. Lineage: Bacteria; Pseudomonadati; Bacteroidota; Sphingobacteriia; Sphingobacteriales. The record is from RNAcentral.
GCCAUGAUUUUGGAAACAGAUCUUCCCUUCGGGGCUUAUUUACAAGGUGCUGCAUGGUUGUCGUCAGCUCGUGCCGUGAGGUGUCGGGUUAAGUCCCAUAACGAGCGCAACCCUUACUGUUAGUUGCCAACGGGUAAAGCCGGGGACUCUAGCGGGACUGCCACCGUAAGGUGAGAGGAAGGUGGGGAUGACGUCAAAUCAGCACGGCCCUUAUGUCCAGGGCUACACACGUGUUACAAUGGCCGGUACAAAGGGCAGCUACCUGGUGACAGGAUGCUAAUCCCAAAAGCCGGUCCCAGUUCGGAUUGGAGUCUGCAACCCGACUCCAUGAAGUUGGAUUCGCUAGUAAUCGCGCAUCAGCCAUGGCGCGGUGAAUACGUUCCCGGGCCUU